Molecule: unclassified non-coding RNA, 332 nt
Filed under: uncultured fungus
Lineage: Eukaryota; Fungi
Description: partial contains 5.8S ribosomal RNA and internal transcribed spacer 2
Rfam family: 5.8S ribosomal RNA (bases 1-133)
Source: RNAcentral
UGGCUCUGGCAUCGAUGAAGAACGCAGCGAAACGCGAUAGGUAGUGUGAAUUGCGGAAUUCAGUGAAUCAUCGAAUCUUUGAACGCACAUUGCGCCCACCGGCAUGCCGGUGGGCAUGCCUGUCCGAGCGUCGUCUGACACCUCCCUUGGGCCCGCGGCCCAGCGUUGGGGCUCCACCCGCUGGGGGGGUGGUCCCUGGAAGGUAUCGGCGGGGCCGGGGCGUCCCCCGAGCGUAGUAGCAACGCCCUCGCUCGCGGCGGCCGACCGGUCCCCCGCCGCCACAGAAGACGCGCCCGUAGCAUGACCUCGGAUCAGGUAGGGUUACCCGCUGA